UGCCGCUUUAGUGCCACACGGAGUAGUACAGUUUUUAGGGUUAAGGAGGUUGCGAACCUGGCAGCUCUGGAAUUUCGAUUUGCGACGACGCCGGUUCGGCCAUUAUUCUGUCAUCGUCACUCUGCUGUGUCGCAUGUACUGGUGUGCCACUCCUGUCCUGUGUUGGGACUGUGCGUCCGAUGUGUAUUUCUCGCUGUGUGUGUUGUGUGUGCUUAUACUCGUUUGGAUGCUAAGCCUAUCUCCCUGCUCUCCUCAUCGGAGCACUCAUCGCGCAUUUGUGUUUGUGUGCUGUAUGCUCGCAACGGACAAAUUGCUGCGUGCCGUUUUCCACACAUACACGUUGCAUGCCAAAAAAAUUCUCUGGACUACGUGCUCAAGCUCACGGGGCGAAAGGCGAUAACGUCAGAGGCGCAUAUCCUAUUAUAUGUCGUGGAAUUAAAAGGAAUACCAUUCAGUUGAAGGCUUACAUGCUUGUGCGACAUUAUGGAAAACGUUUAUUUUGGAUUGUUAUCUAAACCUUGGAUAUUUAACACACUCAUCAAUCUGUGGAAGCCUUGCAGUAGUAGUGGCGUUGCUAGAGGAGCUCUGCUUAUCAUAGCAUGCGUUCGGAGUGAGGGUAGUAGGUUGUAUAGUUUAGAACUACACCUAACGGGCGAACUAUACAGCUUGCUAACUUUCCUCGAGCCAUGCUUCUGUCGUCAUGGAGAACUUCACCUCCCACGACUCCACGAGGAGAGGACGGACG
Molecule: long non-coding RNA, 745 nt
Organism: Uloborus diversus
Lineage: Eukaryota; Metazoa; Arthropoda; Arachnida; Araneae; Uloboridae
Exons: 4
Source: RefSeq, a predicted model, not a curated record